AUCAAAAAACAAAAAUAAAAAAAGCAUCAGUUUCAUUACUCACUCUCUCCCUCUCUCUCAAAUCCCUAAAUUCUGUUCAUAUAUCAGGUUUCAAAUCCCUAAUUUCUUUUCAUCACUCACUGUCUACGGAUUCGAUAUUCUGAUCUGUGGUUCAUCAUUGUCUCAUAGCAUCUCUCUCCGUUGCCGCGUCAUCUCUCUCGAUUCUCCGAUUUCCCGGCGACUCUCCGGUAGCGAUUCCGAUUAGUGAAACUUGGACCAGAUCUGUUGGGAUGUGAUCAAAUGUAAUUAUUUUUCUUUCUUAAUGGCAAGACUAUCUUGCAGCACUGGCAACGACUGACUUGGCUUAUAGUGUCAUCUUAGACCAUACUCUUGUGGAAAAGGAGCGCAGCUUCUCAACAGGUAUGCCCACAAGAGGCAGAGGAUGAGCAGGGUAUGUACCUAGACCCCAUGCGCCUACACCCCAUGCAUCCACUAAAUCAGUUCGCUCAUCUACUCAAUCAACACCUGGACUUCAUGCAUCCAUUAAAUCAGUUCGAUCAUCUACGCUGCACCCAUUUACAUCAGAAUCGGUACAUGAAGUUACAUCACAAGUUUCACACUCGGAUACUUCUAGCACACAUUCCAGCACUGAUGUAGGCACAUCCAAGGGUAAGAGAGGACGUGGGAAGUCACGAAGCUUGCUCUAGAUGCGUACAGGGUUAGGGUUUGAUUGAGCUGACUCAGGUGGGUUUUGACUUCUUUAGGUGUUUUGUGGUUUUUCAAAAAUGUGGAGGGAUGCUGGAACUCCUGCUGAUUCUUUCUGAGGUUCGGCCCAAAUGCACCGAUGUUUCUAAAACCAAAUUCCAAAUCAAGGUCCUACAAGCUUGCGUCGAUUUGAAGCUUGGGAGUUCUUUGCUAGAUUUUGAAUGCCAUUUCAACGAAACUAUUGAGAAGAAGAUGCAAUGAGUUGAGUUGUGUUGUUAUGUAGGUAGAUAUAACUCCAAUUACAAUAUGUUGAAUAGUAGAAUGCUACAAACAAUGCUUAUGGUACUAGCCUUAUAAAUUGGAAAUCAUACUUUUGAAAUCUCUGUCAGUUUAUGAUAUAUAAUCAAAAUAUUACAUACUAAUAAAUCAGAGCAUGGUAUU
Camellia sinensis is the source of this 1125-nucleotide non-coding RNA. NCBI's taxonomy places the organism in Eukaryota, Viridiplantae, Streptophyta, Magnoliopsida, Ericales, Theaceae. The record is from RefSeq and is a predicted model, not a curated record.